ACAACAGAGGACACCUUCUGAGCAAGUCCUUGAACCUUUCCCAAGCCUCGUACAAACUCCUAUCUUCUAGUUGAUGGAAAGAGGUAAUCUCAUUUCGUAAUUUU
Molecule: small nucleolar RNA, 104 nt
Rfam family: Plant small nucleolar RNA R71
About the family: R71 is a member of the C/D box family of snoRNAs containing the C (UGAUGA) and D (CUGA) box motifs. Multiple nearly identical copies of this snoRNA have been identified in Arabidopsis, and it is thought to function as a 2'-O-ribose methylation guide for 18S ribosomal RNA.
Source: Rfam